AGAUGGGCCAAGAAGAUUGAAGCCAGAGAAAAGAAAGCCAAGAUGACAGAUUUUGAUCGUUACAAAGUGAUGAAGGCAAAGAAAAUGAGGAACCGAAUAAUCAAGCUUGAAGUUAAGAAGCUUCAAAAGGCAGCUCUUCUGAAAGCUUCUCCC
Molecule: long non-coding RNA, 153 nt
Organism: Myotis davidii
Lineage: Eukaryota; Metazoa; Chordata; Mammalia; Chiroptera; Vespertilionidae
Exons: 3
Source: RefSeq, a predicted model, not a curated record